This 4650-nucleotide long non-coding RNA is filed under the name Sus scrofa (pig). Its description in RNAcentral is "lncRNA (ENSSSCG00050014273.1)". Lineage: Eukaryota; Metazoa; Chordata; Mammalia; Artiodactyla; Suidae. The record is from RNAcentral.
UCUGGAGACGGGGCAGAACGGAAGCACAGUUUUCCUUCUCUUUGGCUUCAUGUUUCUAUGUGGAGGCGCCUUCAUUAGACGACCAGUCCUGGGCUCCCUGAGCGAUCUGAGGGGCAUUUGUCAAGCACCUACUGUGCAGAGUGCAGGGGGGACAUCAGCUCUCAAGCAGCGUCUGCUCUGAUGGGAAGACCCUGACCACGACCUACGUCAGAAUGAAACGUCUUCCAGGUAAGAGAUGACAAACGUUGGACCUAGAGGGGCAGAGAGGAAGGAGCUGUUAAUUUUGGCUCGAGAGGUGCAGAACUCCGGGAAGACCGAGGGGGAACAUUUGAGCAGCAACAUGAAGGACAGGAAAAGUUUCAAGGCAAAGGAGGAGGAACGGAAGAACACUCCAGGAUGAGGGAACCGCUUUAGCAAAGUGGGAGAUGCAGCGAGGGCUGGGAAACACACCUGUGUGGAGAGAGCUGAACGGCACUGACUCGAAUGCCUGGGAGGGGAUCUGGAGGAAUGGAGGUAGGUGGCCAAAGACAAGGGACUUCAGACCUUCGUUGCAGGAGGUGGCUAGCUGGGACCGUGUGAAGAUAGGUUGGGUCCCAACAUUUCACCAUCAGGAAACCCCUUUCAUAACUUUACCUCCAUAGAUCCCACACUUUUAUUUCAGCCCUUUCACAAAUCAUGUUUAUUAAUAGUCCAUGAGGCGGUAUUGGGGUACACUUUCGGUAGUUCUUUUAAAUAUUGACGAUCCAUAGAUAAUCCGAAAGUGCCAGGUUGGGAACCAAGAGAAGUCAAAGAGCAGAGAUCUGCAGGCCCCCUGGUCAACGCCCACAGUCGCCUGGACCAGAAGUGACAGAGCCUGAGUUAAGGCAGGGCUGGGGUUUCCGAAACCCCAUACCUGGGAACAGGUAUGGGAUAGUCUGCGGUUGCAACGGACAGGACGUGUGAGCGACUGCGGCCAAGGAGAGGGAGGAAUAGAGAGCCGGUGAUUCGGAGGCCCUGGCCCAGGGAGGGAAUGUCACUGGUGCACUAGGCGAGGGUGGGGGCGCAGGAGCCCCAAGGCUGGGAGGGGAGAGUUGGGGAGACAGGGACACUCUUAGUCUGGGGUCCAUGCAGUCAGCCACGUGGAGUUUGCCAGCAGGAAGUCAGGAGCCUGGGAGGCAUCUCAAGACAUUUUCCCAGGGGCAGAAAACCUGGGACUCCGUUGACCUUGCAGCCUCACACUCAGUGCACAGAGUGGGACGAGCGCCCUCCCGGGCCUCCACCUUCUGUUACCUUCUGCUCCAGUCCAUCCCUGAUCACGUAGAGCCGGCCUCCUAAGAUCCUCCGCAUCUGUCUCUCAGACCCUGGGUGCUUGUCAACUAUAAGAAGGAGAAGAUGGGGUUAGGGAGCGAGUGGAUGGAGGGGCUCUGGACAGCACUUGGCCACUGCCUGCCGUCCCUGCACAGCCUGCGGUCAGCCUGGUUUAGAGCAGUGCUGUCGGUCAUGAUCAGGCCGUCUGCCCCUGUUUUGCUCCGUGGCUGCAGAGCGAGGGUGUGGGGUGGGAAGCAGUGCCCUUGCCCUGCUGUGGUCGGGUCUGAACUAUUGCCGGUGGGUGGGGGUGACCUUCAGGGCACAGAGCAGAGUUUUCAGAGUGGGGCCCUUUGCUGCCAAUCCCCCUUCCUGGUCAGGUUGACAGUGCUGCUCAUGGGCUGCCAGACAGAUACCUGGUGGGGGCACAGCCCCACCCCAAUACUGUCCAUGAACGCAGCCCUCUGUGCCUGCCUGCACCUGGAAUUCGGAGCACAGUCCCCCAGGAGCUGGGGCUGGGUCAGGGUCUUCUGGAGUAGGAACAGCUGUCCCACUCCAGGUAAAGCCAGUCUUAAUUCUGGGGCCAAAUGGUCCUCAAUGCAUGGACUUCACCAACAUCAGAAUCACUUGUCGGCUUGUUGAAAUACAGAUUCCAGAGUUUCCGUCGUGGUGCAGUGGAAGCCAGCCUGACUAGGAUCCAUGAGGAUGCAGGUUCAAUCCCUAUUGUCGCUCAGUGGGUUAAGGAUCUGGCGUUGCUGUAGUUGUGGCGUAGAUCUUCAGCUACAACUCCAGUUCAGCCCCUAGCCUGGAAAUUUCCAUAUGUUGCAGGUGGGGCCCUAAAAAGAAAGAAAGACAGAUUCCCAGGCUACACCCCAGGUCUGCUACAUCGGAAUCUCUGUGGUAGUGAUUUACAUUUUUAACAAGCUUUCCAGGUGGCUCAAGUGCAAAGCCUGAGACCCACUGCUGGAGAAUCAGCCUCGUUACUAUGAUGCUUGAUUUUCUAGAACCACACGCUUGUGUCUGAAUCUGGGUAACUGACUCUGGUCUUCCCGCUUCCCGCUCCUGAGUCCUCCCGCUUCUGGCGGUAGGUGCGUCCUCUUAGCAGGUCCACGGUGGUGGGGAGCUGGACAUGCAGGGCACGGCCAGCAGGGGAGGGGGCAGGUUGCUGGACAAGAAAAAGGCUCUGAUCCUGGUCGCUGAUGGAGGGAGAGUUGAAAUUACACCAAUGGGCCAGAGCUGAAGUUCACACACAGCCAUGGGAGCCAGCUCGGAGAGAAGUUUGCUUUGGGAAAUACUGGGUUUAAGCUGCAGCAGGAUGUCCAAGGGCCUUGUCUGUGACAGGUGGCCAUUUAGGCCUGGUGCUCUGAGGGUGGGGCAGCGGGGAUGCAGAUCAGCACCAGCACAGAGGUGGUAGGUGACGUGGAGGAGGAGGUGGGUGAAACCGUCCAGGGAGAGGGUGGAGAGCAUUGGGCCCCGGGGACGUCAUGAUUCUAGAAGCGAGUGGCUAAGAGCUGGGGCGGCUGCGAGGUGGGAUGCUGUGGUGAGGAGAGGACCUCAAGGAAGGAGGCUGAUUGUGCAGGAGACACUCCAUCCGGGAGCCACGGGGACCGAGUGGGAACACUGACUUUAAUAAGCCACUGGCUCUGCGUCCUGGCGAGGCAGCAGUGGAGGCGAGCCUUCAUGUGCUUUGGCUCUGCUCUAAGUGGGGGGACGCUGGGGCGGUGGAGCACCUGUGCGUUUGGCUUCCCUGAGGGGCUGGUGUGGACUCUCGCACAAUCGGGCUGCGAACUGGACAGUAGAAGGGUAGCCCCUCCUCUGACAUGUCACUGUGUCCUCCCUGCGCAGCUGGGCUUGGCCGAGGCUGAGCUGUCACCAUUUGUCCCAAACCGGCUGCCCCUUCCCCACUCCCCAGGCGGCCCAGAAUACCGCAGCCCCAGCUGCUCCUCCAGCCAGAAGCUGCACUCUGCUAAAUGAGCUGGGGUUGCUGGAACUUUCCCGUCCGCCUAGGCCACUUAAACUUCCAGGUUGGUUGAACACCAGCCAGUUUUCCAUUUGGGUUUGAGGUGCCCCCCCUCCUUGCAGCGCUGCGCCCCCUGGGGUUGAAGAGACUGGCGGCGGAGCUCUGGCUCCCAGUGGUGCGGCAGCUCUGGGGGAGGCACGGAGGUGGGGACGGAGGCUGAUCAGUGCCGCCUGGCUUCACGCUUUCUCCCCACGGUGAAAACCCAGCUGGCUCCUUCCCCCUGGUUUGUCUGCGAAGCUGUAUCUGGUAUUUAUAGAGGACUGAACCAAGGGCCAAUCAGCUCGGAAUGGAAAUUCCUGAGCCUGGAGUUCUCUGGAGCAACCGGCUCCUGGCUUUCUCUCUCCCAGGAGUUCAGCUGAGGUUUUUCUCCUGAAAACUUUCAAGCUCCGAGAAGUUGGAAGAGGCACAAAUGGGGGGUGUACGUGAAAACACACUGACUAUCUUCCUCUGGGUGUGGACACCUCGUGGUUUUUGGCAUUGAUGGCCAGAGGCGGGGAGGGGCCGGAGGAUGAAUCGCUGGGGGGCCCCGGGAGCAGCUGCAGAGCCUGGCUCUCUGGCGGUGACAGGCAUUGUCUCCUGUUCCUGCGGCCUCCAGGAUUUCCCGCUUCUGAAAUCACGUGUCCGAACUGACCUACUGGGCAUCAGCCACAACCAGCGGUUGUUGUUAACACGAACCUUCCAGCUGCAAGGAAAAGGGACUGUGAGAGAUUUGACAUUUAAAAAGACAGCCAGAAUGAGUGAGAUAUCGACUGACACACUCACUAAAUGUCACCACUUUUGUUUCUUUUCAAUGUUCAGCGCCUAAGUUAUUCUAAAUUAAUUACAUAGCCGCUUGAUUUAUUCCUUACAUUCCCCCUCGCUGCUCCCUCCCACCCUCUGCAGACUGAGAAGCAGCGCGGUGGCUUAUCCCCUUUGUUCUCAAGUUCCCUGGUUGUGAAAAUGACAGGCCUUCAAGGAAAGAGGAGAUGGUCCAGGCAGCAGUGCUGCAACAGGCUCUCAGGGUGCAGUUCAGAGGCGGGGUCUGACCACGGCCACCAUCAAAGCAAGGACACCCCUGUCCCACAGGUGGGGUGGUAAGGCUCAGAGAGGGCACUCCAUAGGCCCAGGGUGGACUGGGGAAGCUGGGGGAGCCAGGACUUAGCCCAGCUCUCCUGGCUUUAGGCUCUUGAGUUUUCCAGAUCUAUUGGGGUCAAAGAGAUGAAUCCAUCCUCAUAUGGCAGAUCUGGCAGGAAACAGGUAGCUGCUGGAAUGAAAAGCGCCUACAGCGAAUACAGUUGUACCCCUGCUUCACUGCCAGGGAGCGGGCCCCUGGGAGCGUCAAGGCAGUCCCAGGUUCGAGACCAGGG